RNAcentral lists this ribosomal RNA (625 nucleotides) under uncultured bacterium. RNAcentral's name for it is "bacterial SSU rRNA". It matches the Rfam family "Bacterial small subunit ribosomal RNA", at positions 43 to 695 of the family's 1533-position model. The record is from RNAcentral.
CAGGCCUAACACAUGCAAGUCGAACGAGAGUCCCGGCUUCGGCGGGGAUGAGAGUGGCGCACGGGUGAGUAACGCGUGGGGACCUGCCCCCUGGUUCGGAACAACGUCUGGAAACGGGCGCUAAUACCGGAUACACCCGGCCUUGUGUCGGGGAAAGAGCGAUUGCCUGGGGAGGGGCCCGCGUCCGAUUAGCUUGUUGGUGCGGUAACGGCGCACCAAGGCUUCGAUCGGUAGCUGGUCUGAGAGGAUGAUCAGCCGCACUGGGACUGAGACACGGCCCAGACUCCUACGGGAGGCAGCAGUGGGGAAUAUUGGACAAUGGGGGCAACCCUGAUCCAGCAAUGCCGCGUGUGUGACGAAGGCCUUAGGGUUGUAAAGCACUUUCAGUCGUGACGAUGAUGACGGUAGCGACAGAAGAAGCCCCGGCUAACUCCGUGCCAGCAGCCGCGGUAAUACGGAGGGGGCGAGCGUUGUUCGGAAUUACUGGGCGUAAAGGGCGUGUAGGCGGCGCGAUCAGUCAGGCGUGAAAGCCCGGGGCUCAACCCCGGAAUGUCGCUUGAUACUGUUGUGCUCGAGAGCGGGAGAGGGCAGUGGAAUUCCCAGUGUAGAGGUGAAAUUCGUAGAU